Molecule: ribosomal RNA, 433 nt
Filed under: uncultured bacterium
Lineage: Bacteria
Description: partial 16S ribosomal RNA
Rfam family: Bacterial small subunit ribosomal RNA
Source: RNAcentral
AACGAACGCUGGCGGCAUGCCUAACACAUGCAAGUCGAACGAGACCUUCGGGUCUAGUGGCGCACGGGUGUGUAACGCGUGGGAACCUGCCCUUAGGUUCGGAAUAACUCCCCGAAAGGGGUGCUAAUACCGGAUAAUGUCUUCGGACCAAAGAUUUAUCGCCUUUGGAUGGGCCCGCGUUGGAUUAGCUAGUUGGUAGGGUAAAAGCCUACCAAGGCGACGAUCCAUAGCUGGUCUGAGAGGAUGAUCAGCCACACUGGGACUGAGACACGGCCCAGACUCCUACGGGAGGCAGCAGUGGGGAAUAUUGGACAAUGGGCGAAAGCCUGAUCCAGCAAUGCCGCGUGAGUGAUGAAGGCCUUAGGGUUGUAAAGCUCUUUUACCCGGGAUGAUAAUGACAGUACCGGGAGAAUAAGCGCCGGCUAACUCCGUG